CACGGGGGGAGCAAGCGUUGUUCGGAAUCACUGGGCGUAAAGGGCGUGUAGGCGGUCAGGUAAGUGGGAUGUGAAAUGCCUCGGCUCACCCGAGGCACUGCAUUCCAAACUGCUUGGCUUGAGUAUGGGAGAGGAUGAGGGAAUUCCUGGUGUAGCGGUGAAAUGCGUAGAUAUCGAGAGGAACACCUGCGGCGAAGGCGGGUUGCUGGGCUGACACUGACGCUGAGGCGCGAAAGCUAGGGGAGCGAACGGG
This 253-nucleotide ribosomal RNA is filed under the name uncultured bacterium. RNAcentral describes it as "partial 16S ribosomal RNA". It matches the Rfam family "Bacterial small subunit ribosomal RNA", at positions 524 to 776 of the family's 1533-position model. The record is from RNAcentral.